RNAcentral lists this ribosomal RNA (263 nucleotides) under uncultured Staphylococcus sp. RNAcentral's name for it is "partial 16S ribosomal RNA". It matches the Rfam family "Bacterial small subunit ribosomal RNA", at positions 99 to 354 of the family's 1533-position model. Lineage: Bacteria; Bacillati; Bacillota; Bacilli; Caryophanales; Staphylococcaceae. The record is from RNAcentral.
CGGACGGGUGAGUAACACGUGGGUAACCUACCUAUAAGACUGGGACAACUUCGGGAAACCGGAGCUAAUACCGGAUAAGAUAUCGAACCGCAUGGUUCGAUAGUGAAAGAUGAUUUUGCUAUCACUUAUAGAUGGACCCGCGCCGUAUUAGCUAGUUGGUGAGGUAACGGCUCACCAAGGCAACGAUACGUAGCCGACCUGAGAGGGUGAUCGGCCACACUGGAACUGAGACACGGUCCAGACUCCUACGGGAGGCAGCAGGC